UGGGGAAUUUUGGACAAUGGGCGAAAGCCUGAUCCAGCAAUGCCGCGUGUGUGAAGAAGGCCUUCGGGUUGUAAACCUCUUUUAGUAGGGAAGAAGCGAAAGUGACGGUACCUGCAGAAAAAGCACCGGCUAACUACGUGCCAGCAGCCGCGGUAAUACGUAGGGUGCGAGCGUUGUCCGGAAUUAUUGGGCGUAAAGAGCUCGUAGGCGGUCUGUCGCGUCUGCUGUGAAAACCCGAGGCUCAACCUCGGGCCUGCAGUGGGUACGGGCAGACUAGAGUGCGGUAGGGGAGAAUGGAAUUCCUGGUGUAGCGGUGGAAUGCGCAGAUAUCAGGAGGAACACCGAUGGCGAAGGCAGUUCUCUGGGCCGUAACUGACGCUGAGGAGCGAAAGCGUGGGGAGCGAACAGGAUUAGAUACCCUGGUAGUCCACGCCGUAAACGUUGGGCGCUAGAUGUGGGGCACCAUUCCACGGUUUUCCAUGUCGCAGCUAACGCAUUAAGCG
This 503-nucleotide ribosomal RNA is filed under the name uncultured bacterium. RNAcentral's name for it is "partial 16S ribosomal RNA". It matches the Rfam family "Bacterial small subunit ribosomal RNA", at positions 355 to 866 of the family's 1533-position model. The record is from RNAcentral.